CGUUCGAUAGCUCAGUUGGCAGAGCGGGGGAUUGUAGUUAUUGACAGCAAUUAUCCCUAGGUCACUGGUUCGAAUCCGGUUCGAAGGA
Molecule: transfer RNA, 88 nt
Filed under: Paramuricea clavata
Lineage: Eukaryota; Metazoa; Cnidaria; Anthozoa; Malacalcyonacea; Plexauridae
Rfam family: tRNA
About the family: Transfer RNA (tRNA) molecules are approximately 80 nucleotides in length. Their secondary structure includes four short double-helical elements and three loops (D, anti-codon, and T loops).
Source: Rfam by way of RNAcentral